Molecule: long non-coding RNA, 871 nt
Organism: Chinchilla lanigera (long-tailed chinchilla)
Lineage: Eukaryota; Metazoa; Chordata; Mammalia; Rodentia; Chinchillidae
Exons: 2
Source: RefSeq, a predicted model, not a curated record
GGCGAGGGCAGCUUCAGGGCUCUGCACAGACAGCUGAUGAGUCGCCGCGUGUCCUGCAGGGAGACCAGACAGAGACGGGAGGCUCUCUGCUCUCUCACAUCCAUCUCAGCCUGUGCUUCCCAGGAGCCAACCAAUAGCUGAGGCCCUCGGAGUACGGAUGUUUAGCCCCUCAGUGCAUGACAGACAGCGGUAUGAACGCCGUCGGCUGCUGAUUGCUGCUCGGACUGGCUCCUCCUGCCCAGGCCACUAGCGUCAGCCUCAGGGAGGACUUUGCUCUGGAUUAGCUGUGUGACCUUGGGCAAGUCUCAGGUCCAUGCUGCUGAGGGUGGACACCAAGCCUGCGCCCUUCACCUCCUCCCAGCUACUGACGGGCGGUGUGGAGCAGGCCCAGGGCCUCUUGGACCUUGGUUUCCUCAUCUGUGAAAUGGGGAUCCGUCAUGCCCGGAGCAGGGGCCUCGCCCCAGCCUGAGUAUCCCCCUGCCCACUCACCAGGACGGCCGGUCCCCCGAGUUGUCGUGCCACAGCCGGAGACUCCGCAGCUCCCCCAGGGGGAACAGGGUGGACAGCAGGAAGACGUCCACUCCUCCGCGCUCCAACCCAGGGGACGCGGGGUCUGCCAGGCGGUGUGGCUCGCUCUCUCCGUCCAGGCCAUAUAGGGUGAUGGUCACCUGAAACCCAGGGACCAGGGUGGACACCUCCCCGUGGGAACGGAGCCCACUGGCCUUGCUUCAUGGGAGGUGGCCAGAGGCCAGUGAGGACGCCCCCAUCUGCUCAGGGACCAUUUCUGUUGUGUGCAGAGUUGAGUGACACUUUCUAUAUUCACGGCUUUGAGAUCAGUCACACAUAAAAAGCCUGCUGACUUUUCAAACUC